This is a long non-coding RNA of Oryzias melastigma (Indian medaka), 808 nucleotides long. RefSeq lists it as uncharacterized. The transcript has 2 exons. The record is from RefSeq and is a predicted model, not a curated record. NCBI's taxonomy places the organism in Eukaryota, Metazoa, Chordata, Actinopteri, Beloniformes, Adrianichthyidae.
CCGCCAGCUCUAAAAAUAGACAUGAGAGAAAAGAGGAGCUGUGCUGGAGUGGAAGGGAAGCGAGCAGGAAGGGGAGGAAGAUGGCAGCUGGUAGUGUGGAUCAGUGCAUUCCAGACUGGGCCUAUGGCCAUACCUCAUCCUCUCCGUUUGGUGGUGGCCAUGCCAGACUCUGCAGGACCGCUCUGUCCAGCAGUGGACCAUUGAGGAAAAAGGGGUCCGGCGGUGGGAUGCUCUCGACGCCCCCAUGUGGGACACAUGCAGCCCUGGUGGCCACUGUCCUCAAAAAAAAAAAAAGUGUGAGUUGGUUAAGAGUUCAGCUGUGAAGACUAGAAACAGAUGAGACCAACAGCGAUGGAGAAAAGAAGGGAGGAGUGUGCGAUGAUGUAAUGGUGUGGCUUGCUCCCUCAUUAGGAUCCAGUUGAAAGGAAAGUAAAACUGUUUCUGUGGCGCCAGAACAGGAGAGAAGAUUUCUUUGGUUUGUCUUUUACUCAGGUGUUUGCAGAGCUUGAAUGGUCAAAAGUAAAUGAUUUCUCCUAUAAAUCAUGUUGUGCACGACUCCUAGAACUCAUAAAACAACAACAGCACUUAUUUAUUUAGAUGUCUUAAAAAGAAAUAAACAGGUUAGAAUUUGUGGUCGUAUGAUCCGGUCUGCAAUGCUUAAUAAUAAAAAUGCAAACAUUUCAGGAUUUUAUUGUUAUUAUUGUUUAAAGGGUUUAGAAACCUUUGCAGGAUCAUUUAAAGUUUUUAUAAGUUAAUAUGCUUGAUUUUUAACUGUCCAAAAGCUUUGAAAAAAGGAAAAAAAAGAAAA